CAAAUGACUCUCGGCAAUGGAUAUCUCGGCUCUUGCAUCGAUGAAGAACGUAGUGAAAUGUGAUACUUGGUGUGAAUUGCAGAAUCUCGUGAACCAUUGAGUCUUUGAACGCAAGUUGUGCCCGAGGCCUUGUGGCCGAGGGCACGCCUGCUUGGGCGUCAUGG
Molecule: ribosomal RNA, 164 nt
Filed under: Monolophus saxicola
Lineage: Eukaryota; Viridiplantae; Streptophyta; Magnoliopsida; Zingiberales; Zingiberaceae
Also listed under: 1 other name
Description: 5.8S ribosomal RNA
Rfam family: 5.8S ribosomal RNA
About the family: 5.8S ribosomal RNA (5.8S rRNA) is a component of the large subunit of the eukaryotic ribosome.
Source: RNAcentral